RNAcentral lists this ribosomal RNA (675 nucleotides) under Adelophryne sp. 18757. RNAcentral's name for it is "partial 16S ribosomal RNA". It matches the Rfam family "Bacterial large subunit ribosomal RNA", at positions 1523 to 2514 of the family's 2925-position model. The record is from RNAcentral. Lineage: Eukaryota; Metazoa; Chordata; Amphibia; Anura; Eleutherodactylidae.
UUUUUUAUGUUAAGACUAGUAACAAGAACUAAACUUCUCUCACAAUGUAAAUAUAUCCUCCACAAUUAACACAUGAAAAUAAUGUAGUAACCUACAAGAAAAACCUACAAAAACCACUGUUAACCUUAUAUUAGAACAUUACUAGAAAGAUAUCAAAAAAAAGAAGGAACUCGGCAAAAUAAGAUUCCGCCUGUUUACCAAAAACAUCGCCUCUUGCAUGAUAUAAGAGGUCCUGUCUGCCCAGUGACUUAGUUCAACGGCCACGGUAUCCUGACCGUGCGAAGGUAGCGUAAUCAUUUGUUUUUUAAUUAAAGACCUGUAUGAAAGACCACACGAGAAUCACACUGUCUCCUUUCUUCAAUCAGUGAAAAUAAUCUCCUCGUGCAAAAGCGAGAAUUACCAUAUAAGACGAAAAGACCCUGUGGAGCUUCAAACACCCAACACCUGUUGUAACAACCUUACUUCCACCCACCAACAACAGUCUGAUUGUAAGUUUUCGGUUGGGGUGACCAUGGAGAAAAAACAAACCUCCAAGAUGAACCAGAAUUUUCUUUAAUUUAGAGCUACAACUCUAAAUAUCAGAAUACUGACAUUAAUUGACCCUUCUUGAUCAACGAACCAAGUUACCCCAGGGAUAACAGCGCAAUCUACUUUAAGAGCACGUAUCGACAAGUU